AUGACGUCAAGUUGUUACAAGUUACAACAAUCAGGAGAAAUACAACAAUGGCCUGGCUUACUUCAUUCGAGAAGGAGAUCAAUCGGUAUCGCCCUAUCAUUAUGUGCAUACAUCACCAGGAAUGGCGACUACUUCUCCGUAGCCUUCUGCGGAAAGGCCUGCAUGCCUCUAUGCUAAGAUCAACUGCAGCAGCAAGUGCCAUGAAAAUGGCUGCGUCUUCCACACAGGUCACAUGUCGCAUGGCAAGUUGCACGAGGGGCUUGCUGCAUUUCCCUUCCCCUUGUACUCGACAGCUCAUGACAAAGCCGCCUGCAACAGGACUUAGUGCUGCAAAGUCUCCACUGCUUCUUGGACUAGGCAAUGGACUCGUUGCUGCUCGAACCUGUUUGUCCGUGUCUAUGUAGAACUCACCACCCUUUUCUGCACUGAUCAAGAUCUCAGACAUGAGGAGAUCGCCACCAUUUUCUUGCCCCUCAGAUAGAAGAUGGAAGCGACAGCAAAUGGUAUCUCUGAUCCCACGUUCACGCCAUGCUUCAAGCUUUCCCCAUGGCUGCCAACAUCCGGGCCUGCAAACAUCAGGAUGAACAAUCAACCAAGCUCCUGGG
RNAcentral lists this unclassified non-coding RNA (605 nucleotides) under Hevea brasiliensis (rubber tree). Lineage: Eukaryota; Viridiplantae; Streptophyta; Magnoliopsida; Malpighiales; Euphorbiaceae. The record is from RNAcentral.